RNAcentral lists this ribosomal RNA (164 nucleotides) under uncultured bacterium. RNAcentral's name for it is "partial 16S rRNA". It matches the Rfam family "Bacterial small subunit ribosomal RNA", at positions 355 to 511 of the family's 1533-position model. The record is from RNAcentral.
UAGGGAAUCUUCCACAAUGGACGCAAGUCUGAUGGAGCAACGCCGCGUGAGUGAAGAGGGUCUUCGGAUCGUAAAACUCUGUUGUUAGAGAAGAACACGAGUGAGAGUAACUGUUCAUUCGAUGACGGUAUCUAACCAGCAAGUCACGGCUAACUACGUGCCAG